Molecule: ribosomal RNA, 282 nt
Filed under: uncultured bacterium
Lineage: Bacteria
Description: partial 16S ribosomal RNA
Rfam family: Bacterial small subunit ribosomal RNA
Source: RNAcentral
GUGGAUUAGAUACCCUGGUAGUCCACGCCGUAAACGAUGCUAACUCGUUUUUGGGUUUUCGGAUUCAGAGACUAAGCGAAAGUGAUAAGUUAGCCACCUGGGGAGUACGUUCGCAAGAAUGAAACUCAAAGGAAUUGACGGGGGCCCGCACAAGCGGUGGAUUAUGUGGUUUAAUUCGAUGAUACGCGAGGAACCUUACCAAGGCUUAAAUGGGAAUUGAUCGGUUUAGAAAUAGACCUUCCUUCGGGCAAUUUUCAAGGUGCUGCACGGCCGUCGCCAACU